This 1129-nucleotide ribosomal RNA is filed under the name human gut metagenome. RNAcentral's name for it is "bacterial SSU rRNA". It matches the Rfam family "Bacterial small subunit ribosomal RNA", at positions 362 to 1520 of the family's 1533-position model. The record is from RNAcentral.
UAUUGGGCAAUGGAGGCAACUCUGACCCAGCAAUGCCGCGUGAGCGAUGAAGGUAGUUUUAUUGUAAAGCUCUUUUCUCAGGAACGAACAAAUGACGGUACCUGAGGAAUAAGCCCCGGCUAACUACGUGCCAGCAGCCGCGGUAAUACGUAGGGGGCAAGCGUUAUCCGGAAUUAUUGGGCGUAAAGGGUGCGUAGGCGGGUUAUCAAGUCUUUGGUUAAAAUGCGGUGCUCAACGCCGUAGUGCCAAAGAAACUGAUAGUCUAGAGUAUGGUAGAAGUGAGUGGAACUCCAUGUGUAGCGGUAAAAUGCGUAAAUAUAUGGAAGAACACCAGUGGCGAAGGCGGCUCACUAGGCCAAUACUGACGCUGAGACACGAAAGCGUGGGGAGCAAACAGGAUUAGAUACCCUGGUAGUCCACGCCCUAAACGAUGAGUACUAAGUGUAGCCAGAAGGCUGUGCUGAAGUUAACGCAUUAAGUACUCCGCCUGAGUAGUACGUACGCAAGUAUGAAACUUAAAGGAAUUGACGGGAUCCCGCACAAGCGGUGGAGCAUGUUGUUUAAUUCGACGAUACGCGAAGAACCUUACCAGGUCUUGACAUACUCGGCAAAUCUAUAGAGAUAUAGAGGAGGUUAACCGGGAUACAGGUGGUGCAUGGUUGUCGUCAGCUCGUGUCGUGAGAUGUUAGGUUAAGUCCUGCAACGAGCGCAACCCUUAUUGCUAGUUACCAUCAUUAAGUUGGGGACUCUAGCGAGACUGCCGGUGAUAAACCGGAGGAAGGCGGGGAUGACGUCAAAUCAUCAUGCCCUUUAUGACCUGGGCUACAAACGUGCUACAAUGGCUGACACAAAGAGAAGCGAGCUCGCGAGAGUAAGCAAACCUCAGAAAAGCAGUCUCAGUUCGGAUUGAAGUCUGCAACUCGACUUCAUGAAGUUGGAAUCGCUAGUAAUCGCGAAGCAGAGUGUCGCGGUGAAUACGUUCCCGGGAUUUGUACACACCGCCCGUCAAACCAUGAGAGUUUGUAAUACCCGAAGCCGGUGGCCGAACCGCAAGGAAGGAGCCGUCUAAGGUAGGACAGAUGAUUGGGGUUAAGUCGUAACAAGGUAUCCCUACGAGAACGUGGGGAUG